CGGUCCUCGCGGCCCCGCCCCCAUUACCUCAGCCCUCUCCCCGAUCCAAUCUCUCUCCCGAAAAAUCGCCAUCGCCGGCCUACCACUCCUCUUCUGCCCCAUGGGCGCUAGCGAAUGGGAGCCAACCACCCGAAGCGACCGGAGCGACGAGCGGAGGAGGAAGGGAAAGAUGGCGGGGCGGCGGCGGGGAAGGAGUCGUUGCGGGCGGCGGGCAUCCUGACUGAUCAAGCACGAGGGGUCCCGGCGCAGGGCGUCCUGGAAGAACCCCGAGGGUCGAGUCAUCUCCGCCACCACGGCCACCGCGCGCCUCGGCGAGCUCCGCGACUAAUCCUCGCCGGUCGCGCUUCCUUUGCGGACCUCGAAGCCGCCGUCCCGGUAGAUCGUGCUGCACCAUCUCCUUUCGCAUCGAGCGCCGCCGUCCCGUAUCCUAUCUCCCUGACCCGACCCAUGCCACAUCUCCUAUCCUUUCUCUCUCCCCUAUCGAACCUGUGCCGGUGUGCGCGCAUCUCCCGCCAGCGCAUGUGGCGCCAUGCCAUCAUGGUGACAGAUGAGGUCGGGCCCCGGUGCAAAGAAUGGCCACAGUUGCGCAGUCCCACGUUGGUGGCCGUCGCCUGCGGAGUAUAGCAGAGGAGCGUGUGGAUCAGGGAAGCGGGCGGAGUUUCGGCAGCACUGCAGCCGUCGUUCUCUGACCUGUUCUCGGAACGUGUUAACCUGCUUUCUGAUCUAACUGACGGUGCAAGUAGUCAUUUAACUGCAGGUCAGCACAUAUCUAUGUCCAUUUAACUGGUGGCGCACUGGUCCUCCUGGGCAGCAUCGCAGUCGGUGACCCUGCCGAGUGGCGUGGUGGAGCGGCCCUUGGCCGGCUAGCACAUCACGAGCGGCUGUGGCGUGUGAAAUCCUUAAGGAUUGUAACCGUCAGGGGAAUAGAUAAGAGACCAUGUCUGUUUGACCUUUUGGUACUGUGUUUUAUACAGAAUGGCAAGGAUAGGCCAAAAAUCAUGGAUAUGUUAUAUAGUCCUUGUUCAUACUUGGGGACUCCAGUAUGAUGGAUUGUGCUUGCUAACGAUACUAUUCUUUCUUGUAUUGCAGAUUAUCAAGACAUUCCUGAUCACAUUAAACCAGCAUAGUAAGCUAUCAGAUUUCUUAGUUACACUGACGUAAGUACAACUAUUGGUCAUACUUCGCCCAUGGAGUUGGAUGAAGCAGGUUACACUGGUGGCAGAGAUCUCAUAGCAUGUGUGCACGGUACCACCCAUAGUGAAUCAUCAGUAACUAAGGCAGCCAGACCCACCAGAUUUCAGAGAAAGGUACAAAACAAACCUAUAAGCAUGCUAAAGGCAUCAAUGGAUAUAUAUACGAGGUAUGAACAUGACAAUUGAUGAAGGCCGUGAUGGUGGUAUAUGCACACGUGGGAGUUGGCUUAUUGAUCUCCCAGCAAUUGGGAAUGAUAAAUGGUGAAGGCUUUUAUGCAAGUUCUGUCCUUAGUAGGUACUUAAAUAUCGUGAUCAUUGUGUUGUCCCUUCCUAACAAUUCUGCAUCAUAUCGAUUGGCAUUAUGCAGGUUUGUGAUACACUACUUUCCAUAAAUCCUGUUGAGCGCUAAGAUUUUUUUGUAACCAUGAUCAUUUGAGAUUCUCUUUACAUUGUUUGCCGCCAUCCUCAUGGAUAUGAGUGAAGAAGGAUUCUACUAAACUUGUCGAGCUGAUGCAUAUGAAGACAAAGUAUUAAGUAGGAUUUCGUUUUGAGAAUCUUUUUUUAUCCGAUCUACACAUCUGGAACAUUCCCGAGCUUCCUUCUCACAUGAAUAUCAUAUAUCUAUAGGUAACAGCAUAUUUGUGAACCGUAGUGAUAGAAAUUGAUCAUGGGAGACUAGCAUGCUAUCACAAGUUGAUGUUAAAAAGAAAAGCAGUGGCAAGGAAAACUUAUUUUGUUUGCUGUUUGUGUAUGUAACCUGAACGCUAAAUGAUGUUUUAGGCACAUUGUCUAUUCUCGUAAUAUGUUGCCGCAUUGGCCCUUUCCAACAUCAUGGUAAGGAGUGUGUCACUCAUGUAUCUGCAUUGUAUUCUGUUUUUUAGGGCCAUUGUAUUUUGUUGUAGUAUGGUUCUAAUGAUUUAAAAAAAUGUAUCUUCUGAAUGUGAUAUUCACUUGGAGUAUGGCUCCAAUGAGUUUCGAAAUCAUUAUCUUUUGAAUGUUGACCAACCAUCCAAUCUGAUGAAGAUUUUCACUUUGUGAAACCAUGAUUGAUGUGUAGAAUUUAUGUUGUAGUAGAAUAUCCUUUUUUUAUAUGUAUAUUUUCAAAAACAAUGGGGUUUUGGAUAGCUUUUUUUUUGCAGAAUGCUAAAACUGAAAAUCAUGACAAGCCUUGUGCCCAUACACCAAUAAAGGCUGGUUAAGAGAAAUGCUAUUACUAUGCACUCAUCGAACACUAUGGUGGCCAUGCAUUCUCUGCUUGGACGUGAUCUAAGAUACAUCUUACAACCUAGCAACAUUAUCUUUUCCU
Long non-coding RNA from Triticum aestivum (bread wheat), 2499 nucleotides. RefSeq lists it as uncharacterized. The transcript is spliced from 3 exons. The record is from RefSeq and is a predicted model, not a curated record. NCBI's taxonomy places the organism in Eukaryota, Viridiplantae, Streptophyta, Magnoliopsida, Poales, Poaceae.